This 459-nucleotide ribosomal RNA is filed under the name uncultured bacterium. RNAcentral's name for it is "partial 16S ribosomal RNA". It matches the Rfam family "Bacterial small subunit ribosomal RNA", at positions 338 to 795 of the family's 1533-position model. The record is from RNAcentral.
CCUACGGGGUGCAGCAGUGAGGAAUAUUGGUCAAUGGCCGAGAGGCUGAACCAGCCAAGUCGCGUGAGUGAAGACGGCCCUACGUGUUGUAAACCUCUUUUGUCGGGGAGCAAAGAGCGUCACGUGUGACGCAUUGAGAGUACCCGAAGAAAAAGCAUCGGCUAACUCCGUGCCAGCAGCCGCGGUAAUACGGAGGAUGCGAGCGUUAUCCGGAGUUAUUGGGUUUAAAGGGUGCGCAGGCGGCGGUGCAAGGCAGCGGUAAAGUUGCGGGGCUCACCCCCGUACUGCCGUUGAAACUGCAUCCCUUGAGUGCGCGAGAAGUAUGCGGAAUGCGUGGUGUAGCGGUGAAAUGCAUAGAUAUCACGCAGAACUCCGAUGGCGAAGGCAGCAUACCGGCGCGCAACUGACGCUCAUGCACGAAAGCGUGGGUAUCGAACAGGAUUAGAUACCCGAGUAGUC